UUUCUUCAGUGCUUGCCACAGACCCUUUUUACAGUUCUGCCAGCGUCAGCUGGAAUGCCUUCUAAUGUGAGUGUGGUGGUUAGUUCCCGCUUUGUUCUCACAAUCAAAAUAUUUACAGAUAUGAAUGCCAUCGACCCUAUUUGCAGUUGGAGAGCUUUAUAUGGAGAACAAGGUCAAUACCUGUUAUCUGUCAAGCCUGAUACUCCUGAGAACAAUGCAUCUACAGUCACCUGUACCUUGAGUGUGGAGAAAAACCCUGUCAAUGGUUACAUCCCUUUGCUGAUUGCUUUCGCCGUCUUGAUCGCUGGGACCCUUCUCUACUGUCUAUUAUCCUACAUAUUCAAGUAAGUUAGUGUAUGUAUUUCAUGUGUUACCCAACUCUCCCUCUUUAUUAUUGUGCUAAGUAA
Molecule: long non-coding RNA, 407 nt
Filed under: Pogona vitticeps (central bearded dragon)
Lineage: Eukaryota; Metazoa; Chordata; Lepidosauria; Squamata; Agamidae
Description: lncRNA (ENSPVIG00000004561.1)
Source: RNAcentral